AGGAACCUCCAGAGACAGUGUGUAUCAGAUGGUCCAACAAUGUGGCAAAUGCUGAGUGGAGUUUUAAAAUCUUAAUUUAAUGGACAAGUGGUUGUACAUAUCCACAAGGUGAACGUGAUAUUUUUAGCACAUGCACACAAGGUGUGCUGAACAAAACAGCUUAAGGAAACCUUCCCUCACCAUAUCAUUACAGUAUGAUUGCAGGAUUUCAUUCUUCUUGAAGGCUGAAGAGCACUCAGUUAUACAUAUGCCACAUUUGACUUCUGUGAAGACUGCCCCAGGAACAUUGGGAAGUGCAGAUGAUGGGCAUAAUCUUUAGUGAAAUGAUGAAGAGGAACACCUUCCAUCAGCUGGCCAAAUGUGAUGAGGCUUCUGAAAAUACACCUGUAACAAAGUGCGGAAAAUCAAGAGGCACAGAGACAUAAAAGAUAUAUGAAAAUAAUUUGGAAAUAUGUAGAAAAUUUGUCUUAUUAGUCCAGAAGAACUUUUACCAGCAUUUUCGAUAAAGUGGGGAUUCAUAGGAAGAAAUAUCACAUUAUUGAGUCAGAUUCUU
Non-coding RNA from Ictidomys tridecemlineatus (thirteen-lined ground squirrel), 553 nucleotides. Lineage: Eukaryota; Metazoa; Chordata; Mammalia; Rodentia; Sciuridae. The record is from RefSeq and is a predicted model, not a curated record.